RNAcentral lists this ribosomal RNA (421 nucleotides) under uncultured eukaryote. Its description in RNAcentral is "eukaryotic LSU rRNA". It matches the Rfam family "Eukaryotic large subunit ribosomal RNA", at positions 1072 to 1492 of the family's 3401-position model. The record is from RNAcentral.
GGCAAGGAGCCGGGGUCGCCCGAUCGGACCCCGGACGUGAAGUCGACGAUGGUCGGUGGGCUGGUUUUGGUAAGCAGAACGGGCGAUUCGGGAUGAACCGGAAGCGGGGAGAAAGGGCCCGAGAUUGCGUCGACGCGGAUCCCGAAAAGGGCGUCGAUCCGUCGCGACAGCGGGACGGUGGUCAUGGAAGUCGAAAUCCGCUAAGAAGCGUGUAAAAACGUACCCGCCCAACGGAUCGGCCCCGAAAAUUGAUGGCGCUCGAACGCAACCCUCGAACCCCGCCGACGGAGGCUAGGGGAGGCCCCGUCGAGUAGGCGGACGCGCGGGUCGCUUCGACGCUCCCGCGCGAGCGGGGGCGGAGCGGCCCGUGGUGCAGAUCUUGGUGGUAGUAGCGAUCACCCAGGCGAGAACCCUGAGGGCC